This 1749-nucleotide ribosomal RNA is filed under the name Halomonas sp. DQ26W. RNAcentral describes it as "bacterial LSU rRNA". It matches the Rfam family "Bacterial large subunit ribosomal RNA", at positions 1225 to 2925 of the family's 2925-position model. Lineage: Bacteria; Pseudomonadati; Pseudomonadota; Gammaproteobacteria; Oceanospirillales; Halomonadaceae. The record is from RNAcentral.
GCGGUAGAGGAGCGUCGUGUAAGCCGAUGAAGGUGGAUUGAGAAGUCUGCUGGAGGUAUCACGAGUGCGAAUGCUGACAUGAGUAACGACAAGGGGAGUGAAAAACUCCCCCGCCGGAAGACCAAGGGUUUCUGUUCGACGCUAAUCGGAGCAGAGUGAGUCGGCCCCUAAGGCGAGGCCGAAAGGCGUAGUCGAUGGGAAACGGGUCAAUAUUCCCGUACCUCACAUGGUUGCGAUGGGGGGACGAAGAAGGCUAGGUGAGCCAGGCGUUGGUAGUCCUGGUGAAAGCUUGUAGGCCAGUGAUUCAGGAAAAUCCGGAUCACUCUCUUCAAUGAGAAGGCCGAGAAGCGAGACGAAGGCACCACGGUGCUGAAGUCAUCGAUGCCACGCUUCCAGGAAAAGCCUCUAAGCUUCAGAUCAUGUGGGACCGUACCCCAAACCGACACAGGUGGUCAGGUAGAGAAUACCAAGGCGCUUGAGAGAACUCGGGUGAAGGAACUAGGCAAAAUGGUGCCGUAACUUCGGGAGAAGGCACGCCGGCGUAGUGUGAAGGGCCUUGCGCCUGGAGCAUGAACCGGUCGAAGAUACCAGGUGGCUGCAACUGUUUAUUAAAAACACAGCACUCUGCAAACGCGUAAGCGGACGUAUAGGGUGUGACGCCUGCCCGGUGCCGGAAGGUUAAUUGAUGGUGUUAGCCCUCGGGCGAAGCUCUUGAUCGAAGCCCCGGUAAACGGCGGCCGUAACUAUAACGGUCCUAAGGUAGCGAAAUUCCUUGUCGGGUAAGUUCCGACCUGCACGAAUGGCGUAAUGAUGGCCACGCUGUCUCCACCCGAGACUCAGUGAAAUUGAAAUCGCAGUGAAGAUGCUGUGUACCCGCGGCUAGACGGAAAGACCCCGUGAACCUUUACUAUAGCUUCACACUGGACGCUGAUGUUGCCUGUGUAGGAUAGCUGGGAGGCUUUGAACCCUGGACGCCAGUUCAGGUGGAGCCAACCUUGAAAUACCAGCCUGGCAUCAUUGGCGUUCUAACUCAGGUCCGUUAUCCGGAUCGAGGACAGUGUGUGGUGGGUAGUUUGACUGGGGCGGUCUCCUCCUAAAGAGUAACGGAGGAGCACGAAGGUACCCUCAGCACGGUCGGAAAUCGUGCAGUGAGUGCAAGAGCAUAAGGGUGCUUGACUGCGAGACAGACACGUCGAGCAGGUACGAAAGUAGGUUCUAGUGAUCCGGUGGUUCUGUAUGGAAGGGCCAUCGCUCAACGGAUAAAAGGUACUCCGGGGAUAACAGGCUGAUACCGCCCAAGAGUUCACAUCGACGGCGGUGUUUGGCACCUCGAUGUCGGCUCAUCACAUCCUGGGGCUGAAGUCGGUCCCAAGGGUAUGGCUGUUCGCCAUUUAAAGUGGUACGCGAGCUGGGUUUAGAACGUCGUGAGACAGUUCGGUCCCUAUCUGCCGUGGGCGUUGGACGUUUGAGAAGAGCUGCUCCUAGUACGAGAGGACCGGAGUGGACGCACCUCUGGUGUUCCGGUUGUCACGCCAGUGGCAUUGCCGGGUAGCUAUGUGCGGACAGGAUAACCGCUGAAAGCAUCUAAGCGGGAAGCCCCCUUCAAGAUGAGACGUCCCCGAGGCCUCGAGCCUCCUAAAGGGCCCAGCAAGACCAGCUGGUUGAUAGGCCGGGUGUGGAAGCGCUGCAAGGCGUUGAGCUAACCGGUACUAAUUGCCCGUGAGGCUUGACCAUAUAACCCCAAGGGGU